GGCCCACCUAGAUAUUAAAGAGACGAUCAUAUAAAUCAUAUAGAGAACACAAACAACCACAUAGGCUACAUUAAGUCCGUACAGACAGGGUUUGUGUCUGUGAAGCCAUGAACAAUGUGAGGAAAGAUCUGGACGUUGACUGCUGCCUCAUUCAGAUACUGAAUGAACUGCUCCAUCUGACAUACAGAGAGAAGGACAGAAAGAAGGAACAACACACUGAAAAGAUUGCUUUCGACAAAGCUGUUGCUGAGGAAUCCCCCGGCGGCUCUGCAGUUCUGAAGAAACCGCGAUGGAUUGGGCCGAGCCCGGGGGUUGGCCCCCACCAGCUCGCAGUAAUGAGGGACCAGGGCCUUU
Molecule: long non-coding RNA, 354 nt
Organism: Platichthys flesus (European flounder)
Lineage: Eukaryota; Metazoa; Chordata; Actinopteri; Pleuronectiformes; Pleuronectidae
Exons: 3
Source: RefSeq, a predicted model, not a curated record